AGUGAACGCUGGCGGUAGGCCUAACACAUGCAAGUCGAACGGCAGCACAGUAAGAGCUUGCUCGUACGGGUGGCGAGUGGCAGACGGGUGAAGAAUACAUCGGAAUCUACUUUUUCGUGGGGGAUAACGUAGGGAAACUUACGCUAAUACCGCAUACGACCUACGGGUGAAAGCAGGGGAUCUUCGGACCUUGCGCGAUUGAAUGAGCCGAUGUCGGAUUAGCUAGUUGGCGGGGUAAAGGCCCACCAAGGCGACGAUCCGUAGCUGGUCUGAGAGGAUGAUCAGCCACACUGGAACUGAGACACGGUCCAGACUCCUACGGGAGGCAGCAGUGGGGAAUAUUGGACAAUGGGCGCAAGCCUGAUCCAGCCAUACCGCGUGGGUGAAGAAGGCCUUCGGGUUGUAAAGCCCUUUUGUUGGGAAAGAAAAGCAGCAGGUUAAUACCCCGCUGUUCUGACGGUACCCAAAGAAUAAGCACCGGCUAACUUCGUG
Molecule: ribosomal RNA, 492 nt
Filed under: uncultured bacterium
Lineage: Bacteria
Description: partial 16S ribosomal RNA
Rfam family: Bacterial small subunit ribosomal RNA
Source: RNAcentral